CCUACGGGAGGCAGCAGUGGGGAAUUUUGGACAAUGGGGGCAACCCUGAUCCAGCCAUCCCGCGUGUGCGAUGAAGGCCUUCGGGUUGUAAAGCACUUUUGGCAGGGAAGAAAAGGCUCUGGCUAAUACCUGGAGCUGCUGACGGUACCUGCAGAAUAAGCACCGGCUAACUACGUGCCAGCAGCCGCGGUAAU
This 194-nucleotide ribosomal RNA is filed under the name uncultured bacterium. Its description in RNAcentral is "partial 16S ribosomal RNA". It matches the Rfam family "Bacterial small subunit ribosomal RNA", at positions 338 to 524 of the family's 1533-position model. The record is from RNAcentral.